This 644-nucleotide ribosomal RNA is filed under the name uncultured beta proteobacterium. RNAcentral's name for it is "bacterial SSU rRNA". It matches the Rfam family "Bacterial small subunit ribosomal RNA", at positions 57 to 694 of the family's 1533-position model. The record is from RNAcentral. Lineage: Bacteria; Pseudomonadati; Pseudomonadota; Betaproteobacteria.
GCAAGUCGAACGGCAGCACGGGUGCUUGCACCUGGUGGCGAGUGGCGAACGGGUGAGUAAUACAUCGGAACAUGUCCUGUAGUGGGGGAUAGCCCGGCGAAAGCCGGAUUAAUACCGCAUACGAUCUACGGAUGAAAGCGGGGGACCUUCGGGCCUCGCGCUAUAGGGUUGGCCGAUGGCUGAUUAGCUAGUUGGUGGGGUAAAGGCCUACCAAGGCGACGAUCAGUAGCUGGUCUGAGAGGACGACCAGCCACACUGGGACUGAGACACGGCCCAGACUCCUACGGGAGGCAGCAGUGGGGAAUUCUGGACAAUGGGCGAAAGCCUGAUCCAGCAAUGCCGCGUGUGUGAAGAAGGCCUUCGGGUUGUAAAGCACUUUUGUCCGGAAAGAAAUCCUUGGUUCUAAUAUAGCCGGGGGAUGACGGUACCGGAAGAAUAAGCACCGGCUAACUACGUGCCAGCAGCCGCGGUAAUACGUAGGGUGCGAGCGUUAAUCGGAAUUACUGGGCGUAAAGCGUGCGCAGGCGGUUUGCUAAGACCGAUGUGAAAUCCCCGGGCUCAACCUGGGAACUGCAUUGGUGACUGGCAGGCUAGAGUAUGGCAGAGGGGGGUAGAAUUCCACGUGUAGCAGUGAAAUGCGUAGA